UAGCACUCAGGGUGGGGGGAGUAUUUAGAGUGGCAGCAGAGUAGAGCAGAGCUGAGCCACACUCAUCGUGCCACACUCAGUCAUGGACAAACGCACGAGGAGGUUCACCCUGGGUAGGAGAGAAGUUCUGGGACACUGCUGAUGAAGCCAUCAUCUAUGAGGACUACGAUGAAGAUCAAGACUGCUUGUGCUGGAUCUCCUACAUCUGUUUGGAUCAGUAGAACUCCUAAAAUGCUCAUUUACUCAUUGGAUCAUAUUCUUGUCUGUUCUUUGUGAUACUUUUUCUGCACUUGUGUAGUGUCCUUUGCUCUCUUAAAAAGUUAAAUAUAAAUAUAAGCUCUUGUUCUUAUUAUUAUUAGCAUUAUUAUCAUUGCAUUCUUAUGUGUUGACAAACACACAAAGAGCUUACACAUUCACCCUUUUGAACACCUUUUCAUUUAUUUUACAGUGAUGAAACUGUUUAAUACUCAAUAGUGAAUAAAGAAGCCUGUUUGAUUUAA
This is a long non-coding RNA of Cheilinus undulatus (humphead wrasse), 500 nucleotides long. RefSeq lists it as uncharacterized. The transcript has 3 exons. The record is from RefSeq and is a predicted model, not a curated record. Lineage: Eukaryota; Metazoa; Chordata; Actinopteri; Labriformes; Labridae.